UUGACAUCAUGUAGCAAAAGCUCCUGGUCAUUUUCACCAUUCACCUUCCUAAGAGCCCUUUUAUUUAUUUCAUUUGUCACGUACUUUUUGUUUGUUUGUUAUCAUCAGAAGCGUAACAUGAUAGCAUUCAAGGCCGUGGGAUUUUUCUCACACACACAAUUAUGAUAUUGUGGGAAUUUGAACUUGAGACUUAUCGUGUGUUUGGCAAAAGGAAAAAAAGACGGGAUUUGAAAAAAAAAUCGUGAUUUGACCGAUGGAAAAGGGAAAUCCAUGUGUUUGCCAAAAUCUACUAGGGAUUUGGCAAAUCACUUGAGGGAAAUAUGGAGGGAUUUCCCAAUCCAAAAUCCCAAGUUUAAAUCCUAUCAUAAUUGGUGGAAUUGUGCAAAUCUCAAGAGCGGGGGAAAUUCCAUUUGCUGCGCACCAACAAAGACACCUAUAUCAGUUUUCUAACAAGAGUGGGAGAAGAAGGCCAUCUAUCCAAGUUUCGCUGAUUUUGCCAUCUAUCAUCUUUCAGUCUAAGAUUCUGUUUGCUCCAAUAAAGGUUAAUCCAACUUUGGCUGAAGAGUAAAAUGCAGGCGUCUUUUCUUCAACUCGUAAAAGCUGCCAAGUUCAAAGAAUGAAGGGGAUUCUUUAUCUUGUUUUACUCGUUCUUAUGUUGUAUUGACUUUCGAAGGGGAGAC
Long non-coding RNA from Prunus dulcis (almond), 680 nucleotides. RefSeq lists it as uncharacterized. The transcript is spliced from 3 exons. NCBI's taxonomy places the organism in Eukaryota, Viridiplantae, Streptophyta, Magnoliopsida, Rosales, Rosaceae. The record is from RefSeq and is a predicted model, not a curated record.